Molecule: ribosomal RNA, 672 nt
Filed under: Diaparsis sp. NHM723871
Lineage: Eukaryota; Metazoa; Arthropoda; Insecta; Hymenoptera; Ichneumonidae
Description: eukaryotic LSU rRNA
Rfam family: Eukaryotic large subunit ribosomal RNA
Source: RNAcentral
CCUGAGAAACCCAAAAGAUCGAAUGGGGAGAUUCAUCGUCAGCGGCUCCGGUGCGUGUGCGGUUCGGGAUUUCGCGGGGCCUCGGCCUCGCGGGACUCGUCCGCAUUGUUAUUUUUAUGCCGGAGCUAGUCGGCGUGCACUUCUCCCCUAGUAGGACGUCGCGACCCGUCGGGUGUCGGUCUACGACCCGGGUGGGAGUCUGUCGUGCGUCGCGCUUCACGGUGCGUCAUGCGGCAGACCCCCGGAUGUCCGACCGACUGCCCGGCGGUACUCGCACGGUAUCGGGCCGCAAUCUUUGAACUGCGUCCGGCUUGUCGCAAGCGAGGUACAAGUUUCUCCCGGACGUACGGACCUCGCGCCGUCGCCGGGCUUGUCCAGCUGUUGGUCGACUUUGCUCUCGGACUGGCUCUCAAUUUAUACAUACCGGUCGGCGACGCUACUGCUUUGGGUACUUUCAGGACCCGUCUUGAAACACGGACCAAGGAGUCUAACAUGUGCGCGAGUCAUUGGGAUAUGUAAAGCCCAAGGGCGCAAUGAAAGUGAAGGUCGGCAUCGCGCCGACCGAGGGAGGAUGGGCAGCGUCACGAUGCUGUCCCGCACUCCCGGGGCGUCUCGUUCUCAUUGCGAGAAGAGGCGCACCCAGAGCGUACACGUUGGGACCCGAAAGAUGUG